ACUUACGGCUAUGCCACCCUGAGUGGCCUGAUCUUGUCUGAUCUCGGAAGCUAAGCAGGGUCAGGCCUGGUUAGUACUUGGAUGGGAGACCACCUUGAAAUACCAGGUACUGUAGGCG
RNAcentral lists this ribosomal RNA (118 nucleotides) under Pteropus alecto (black flying fox). Lineage: Eukaryota; Metazoa; Chordata; Mammalia; Chiroptera; Pteropodidae. The record is from RNAcentral.